GUAUAUAUAGUAUAUUAUAAAUAUAUUUAAUUUCCAAUUAAAAGAUUAAUUAAAAUUAUAUAUGCA
RNAcentral lists this transfer RNA (66 nucleotides) under Eucera floralia. Its description in RNAcentral is "tRNA-Gly". The record is from RNAcentral. Lineage: Eukaryota; Metazoa; Arthropoda; Insecta; Hymenoptera; Apidae.